Molecule: ribosomal RNA, 497 nt
Filed under: uncultured bacterium
Lineage: Bacteria
Description: partial 16S ribosomal RNA
Rfam family: Bacterial small subunit ribosomal RNA
Source: RNAcentral
GACGAACGCUGGCGGCGUGCCUAAUACAUGCCAGUUGAGCGCUGAAGGUUGGUACUUGUACCAACUGGAUGAGCAGCGAACGGGUGAGUAACGCGUGGGGAAUCUGCCUUUGAGCGGGGGACAACAUUUGGAAACGAAUGCUAAUACCGCAUAAAAACUUUAAACACAAGUUUUAAGUUUGAAAGAUGCAAUUGCAUCACUCAAAGAUGAUCCCGCGUUGUAUUAGCUAGUUGGUGAGGUAAAGGCUCACCAAGGCGAUGAUACAUAGCCGACCUGAGAGGGUGGUCGGCCACAUUGGGACGGAGACACGGCCCAAACUCCUACGGGAGGCAGCAGUAGGGAAUCUUCGGCAAUGGACGAAAGUCUGACCGAGCAACGCCGCGUGAGUGAAGAAGGUUUUCGGAUCGUAAAACUCUGUUGGUAGAGAAGAACGUUGGUGAGAGUGGAAAGCUCAUCAAGUGACGGUAACUACCCAGAAAGGGACGGCUAACUACGUG